UACGUAGGGGGCAAGCGUUGUCCGGAAUCAUUGGGCGUAAAGCGCGUGUAGGCGGCCCGGUAAGUCCGCUGUGAAAGUCGGGGGCUCAACCCUCGAAUGCCGGUGGAUACUGUCGGGCUAGAGUGCGGGAGAGGCGAGUGGAAUUCCUAGUGUAGCGGUGAAAUGCGCAGAUAUUAGGAGGAACACCGGUGGCGAAGGCGCCGCUCUGGGCCGAAACUGACGCUGAGGAGCGAAAGCAUGGGUAGCAAACAGG
This 253-nucleotide ribosomal RNA is filed under the name uncultured bacterium. RNAcentral's name for it is "partial 16S ribosomal RNA". It matches the Rfam family "Bacterial small subunit ribosomal RNA", at positions 524 to 776 of the family's 1533-position model. The record is from RNAcentral.